GACGAACGCUGGCGGCGUGCUUAACACAUGCAAGUCGAACGAUGAAGCUGGAGCUUGCUCCGGUGGAUUAGUGGCGAACGGGUGAGUAACACGUGAGCAAUCUGCCCUUGACUCUGGGAUAACUGCGGGAAACUGUAGCUAAUACCGGAUAUGAGGCUUGGAGGCAUCUCCAGGCCUGGAAAGAAUUUCGGUCAAGGAUGAGCUCGCGGCCUAUCAGCUAGUUGGUGAGGUAAUGGCUCACCAAGGCGACGACGGGUAGCCGGCCUGAGAGGGUGACCGGCCACACUGGGACUGAGACACGGCCCAGACUCCUACGGGAGGCAGCAGUGGGGAAUAUUGCACAAUGGGCGAAAGCCUGAUGCAGCAACGCCGCGUGAGGGACGAAGGCCUUCGGGUUGUAAACCUCUUUUAGCAGGGAAGAAGCGAAAGUGACGGUACCUGCAGAAAAAGCACCGGCUAACUACGUG
This 467-nucleotide ribosomal RNA is filed under the name uncultured bacterium. RNAcentral describes it as "bacterial SSU rRNA". It matches the Rfam family "Bacterial small subunit ribosomal RNA", at positions 28 to 507 of the family's 1533-position model. The record is from RNAcentral.